GAUGAACGCUGGCGGCGUGCCUAAUACAUGCAAGUCGAGCGAACGGACGAGAAGCUUGCUUUUCUGAUGUUAGCGGCGGACGGGUGAGUAACUCGUGGAUAACCUACCUAUAAGACUGGGAUAACUUCGGGAAACCGGAGCUAAUACCGGAUAAUAUUUUGAACCGCAUGGUUCAAAAGUGAAAGACGGUCUUGCUGUCACUUAUAGAUGGAUCCGCGCUGCAUUAGCUAGUUGGUAAGGUAACGGCUUACCAAGGCAACGAUGCAUAGCCGACCUGAGAGGGUGAACGGGCACACUGGAACUGAGACAAGGUACAGACUCCUAAGGGAGGCAGCAGUAGGGAAUCUUGCGCAAUGGGCGAAAGCCUGACCGAGCCAAGCCGCGUGAGUGAAGAAGGUCUUCGGAUUGUAAAACUCUGUUAUUAGGGAAGAACAUAUGUGUAAGUAACUGUGCACAUCUUGACGGUACCUAAUCAGAAAGCCACGGCUAACUACGUG
This 497-nucleotide ribosomal RNA is filed under the name uncultured bacterium. RNAcentral describes it as "partial 16S ribosomal RNA". It matches the Rfam family "Bacterial small subunit ribosomal RNA", at positions 28 to 507 of the family's 1533-position model. The record is from RNAcentral.